Molecule: ribosomal RNA, 412 nt
Filed under: uncultured bacterium
Lineage: Bacteria
Description: bacterial SSU rRNA
Rfam family: Bacterial small subunit ribosomal RNA
Source: RNAcentral
GAACGAGAAAGGGACUUCGGUCCUGAGUAUAGUGGCGCACGGGUGAGUAACACGUGAAUAAUCUACCUCCGAGUGGGGAAUAACCUGGAGAAAUCUAGGCUAAUACCGCAUAACACUUACGAGUCAAAGCAGCAAUGCGCUUGGAGAGGAGUUCGCGGCAGAUUAGUUAGUUGGCGGGGUAAUGGCCCACCAAGACGAUGAUCUGUAUCCGGCCUGAGAGGGCGCACGGACACACUGGAACUGAAACACGGUCCAGACUCCUACGGGAGGCAGCAGUGGGGAAUUUUGCGCAAUGGGGGAAACCCUGACGCAGCAACGCCGCGUGGAGGAUGAAGUAUCUUGGUACGUAAACUCCUUUCGAUGGGGAAGAUAAUGACGGUACCCAUAGAAGAAGCCCCGGCUAACUUCGUGC